ACAGCAGUCGCCGCGGUAAUACGUAGGUGUCAAGCGUUGUCCGGAAUUAUUGGGCGUAAAGAGCUCGUAGGCGGUUUGUCGCGUCUGCUGUGAAAACCGGAGGCUCAACCUCCGGCCUGCAGUGGGUACGGGCAGACUAGAGUGCGGUAGGGGAGAUUGGAAUUCCUGGUGUAGCGGUGGAAUGCGCAGAUAUCAGGAGGAACACCGAUGGCGAAGGCAGAUCUCUGGGCCGUAACUGACGCUGAGGAGCGAAAGCAUGGGGAGCGAACAGGAUUAGAUACCCCCGUAGUCCCUGUCUCUUAUAC
This 305-nucleotide ribosomal RNA is filed under the name uncultured bacterium. Its description in RNAcentral is "partial 16S ribosomal RNA". It matches the Rfam family "Bacterial small subunit ribosomal RNA", at positions 508 to 807 of the family's 1533-position model. The record is from RNAcentral.